This 589-nucleotide long non-coding RNA is filed under the name Mus spicilegus (steppe mouse). Its description in RNAcentral is "lncRNA (ENSMSIG00000025694.1)". Lineage: Eukaryota; Metazoa; Chordata; Mammalia; Rodentia; Muridae. The record is from RNAcentral.
GCCACCUGUUUCCUGAGGGCUCUGUCACUGGGCUGGAGCUGGGGCUUGAUGAAACCAGUGCAAACUCAGGCUUAGUAGGUGACGGUAUUGCCAGAAGCCCGCUCGCGGCAGCGCCUCAUUUCUGCUUUUGCAGACAUCCUGGCUUCAGCAAAAGGCGGUGCAGAGAAUGCUGCAUGGAUGUUGUCCUUUGGGUGCAGGUUUGCUGAGUGGGCAGGUGGUGCUGCUAUCUACUGGAGCAAGUUGCUAAGGUUGGAACCCAAACCAGAAAAAUGGGAGAUGCCACGACUGACGGAGUCCUCAUUGGGAAGCAGAGUGUUUGCUGGCUGCUUGGUCCACUUGGGUGGCUACUGCUGUUGCCUUAUUUACAGAGUGGAGAUGGAGAUGAAAUCCAAGGUCUUUCAAGAUAUGCAAAUGAAGCAUCCUUUUUAAAUUCAAAUUGUGGCAUAGCAUUAAAAAACUUAUUUUGAUUAAAAAUUAUACUUGUGAAUCUUCCCAUUCACUUACUCUUUCUUUUGUUUGAUUUUUAUUUCUUUUAAAGACAUUAAAAAUUUUUAAUUUAUAUAUAUGUGUGUGUGUGUGUGUGUGUGUG